This is an RNA transcript of Apis laboriosa (Himalayan honeybee), 3766 nucleotides long. It is a transcript of the gene named DNA helicase MCM9-like, with no coding region annotated. Lineage: Eukaryota; Metazoa; Arthropoda; Insecta; Hymenoptera; Apidae. The transcript has 13 exons. The record is from RefSeq and is a predicted model, not a curated record.
CUCGCCUGCCAGUGACAACUUACAUAGAAUCGCAGGAAAUGCGCCGCACAUACACGAUCCUGACGUCGACAAUUUACACUUGUCCGAGCUAUUGACAAGAGAAAUUUUUGCGUCUCGCGACGUUUUCACGCCGAGAAAAAUUCCGUACUCUAUAACUGAAGGCCGGACAAGGAAAAAAAAAAAAAAAAAAUAUUGAACUUAAAUUCAAUGUUAAAUAACGAACGCGCAAAAAUUUUUCUCGAAAGACAAGUUAUUUCCAUCCACUUUGCAUCCUCCUCUCGAAAAUCUCGCGAUAUUUCGAAAACGUUAACAGGGAUUAAGAUUCGGUAACAGUGAAUCAAAAAGAUUCAUGGCAAUGGUGUACGCGUUUCUCAAGGCGAAUACAAGUUGUUAGGGGGUUGGUUCGAAGGUUUCGCGGGAGUUAUUCUAUUUCGAGACGAGGCAAGUUUUGAUCGUGCACCGGGCAAUUACACGUAGAAACGCGCGGGAACGUAUAUAUGUAUUCGCCACGCAUACGACCACGCUAAUUACAUCGAUUCGUACACCCCCGGCUACUGCGAAUCCAACGAGUAAUUUAUAACUUAGGAAGAGGUCGUAAAGGGAAUCGUUACUAAUGAUAUCGUAAUACCGAUACCAGGCGUCGUGUGUUUAACCUGCGUGCUCCACCGUUUGAAAUAUGAACGAACGAUCCCCACAUUUCAGAUAAAACAGCUCGUGCUCGGGGAAUGGAACUUCUGUGAUUAAAAUUAUUUGAAAUUCUAUUCCGUUCCAAUAGAAUUCGUAUCUAGAUUUUGGAAUGAUUAGAAUGAUUAGAAAUUGGAGGAAAGAAACGACACGGCAUGUAUGCGUGUAUUAUUUUAUUAUCGAAGGAGGAGAGGACGUUUUUUCGCUUUCGUGGAGGCACGCUUUAUUUAGAGGCACUUCUGUUUUAAACGCGCGAUUAAUGGAAUCGCGUCGAGGAUUUUUUUCGAUGAAAAGUAGACACCGAAAAGGUUUUCACUGUUGCGGGACAAGUUUUACCGCAGGGUUCCGUGCGAAACCACGAGAACAGAAUUACGAGAUGGAUAGGAAGACGCGAAAAUCGAUUAAUGGAUGAACUGUCAAUGCGGUUUCACGACAAGUAAUCGAUAUGGCUCUUUUAUUAAAUCGACGCUAACGGUAAAGGAAUUCAUUGAACGUUAAAUUUCAGUCGUUUGGAUCACAACUACAUCAGCGUUACGUAAUUUCCCGUUAAAUAUUCCCUCGGAGGACAAUUUAAAUUUUAUAUAUAUAUUUUAUAGAAUAAUGGAUAUUGCUUCUAUCUCCUGGCAUGUUAAGAUGAAAUGAUAACGAAAAAAAUUUUUUUAUAAAGAUUUAUUUUCUUACAUUAUUUUAUACAUAUUUUUACAUAUUUUUUUAUUCAUUUAAUUUUAUUUAACAUAAACUUUAUUCAUAAUAUAAAUAUAUUACGUUGUAAGGUCCCUCAGUGACUCCAUUUUGAUGUUUUAUCACUGGAAAAAAUAUAAUUGAUUAAAUAAAAUAUAAUUAGUAUUAUUUCUCUUGAUAUAAAUUAAUAAAUAAUUGCAAAUGUGAUACGAUAAUUAUGAUUAUCAUGGUCGAACAGCAGCCAUUAAAAAUUAAAUGAACACAUGUGCUGAGUGGGGAGCACGUGACUUUGACAGUUUCGGCGGGAAGUCAGUAGCACGUGCGACAGCGUGAAUAGUGGAUGUGUCUAUAACCUCAAUUCUUGCGCUCCGCAAAUAAACACUUAAAAUGUUGAAAGAGUAUCUAUUGAAAAAUCACCAAAUAGAAUUGAAGGAAGUUUUGGAUAAUAUUGAUAUCAAUUGUUAUUAUUCGAUUUAUGUUAAUUUUGUAUCAUUGUUCGAGGAUGAUGCCGACGUUGCACAAAAAAUUUUGCAAUAUCCUAGAUAUUACUUACCAUUGUGCGACGAAGCAGCGAUAAAAGCUCAGGAAGAAAUAGCAAAACCGAAACAAAUUGUUAAAAAGAAGGUACGUAUUAGAAUUACUGCUGUGCCAGUUACAUUAGAUCAAGGGCAAAUUGGACAGCUUGUUUCAACGAGUGGCAUUAUCGUUAGGAUCUCCCAACCAAAAGUGUUAAAAUCUGUUCAAAGAUAUUAUUGUAGAAAGUGCAAACAUAUUACUUUGGCUAAAUAUGAAUGGGAGAGACAAACUUUUGCAGAUAUUACAGAUUGUGAAGAAUGUCAUGCUACAAAACUUAAAGUUUUAACUGAUUUUGAUUUGGAAGAUUCUUCAGAUUGUCAGGAAAUAGGAGUACAAGAAAAGUGUAAAAUAGAUACAAACAAAUCCUUGACUGAGGAACUUAGGAUUAUUCUAUUGGAUGAUUUAGUUGAUAAAUGUAGACCAGGAGAUCAUGUUGAGAUUAGUGGUGUUGUGAUAAGAAUUUGGGGUCCCUUAGAAGUUGGUGAACGUUUAGAAGCGACAACCAUGAUGUUAGGUAAUAGCAUUACAGUACGGCGUAAAAUAUCCGACACAUCUUCUUCUCAAGAAAUGAGAGAUGUUUUUAGAAAUUAUUGGGAAAAAUAUAGUGAUAAUCCUUUACUUGGUAGAGACAAUAUUCUUGCAUCUCUUUGCCCAAAGCUUUAUGGAAUGUACACUGCAAAAUUAGCACUGGCUGUCGUUUUAGCCGGUGGCGUACCAAAAUGUAACGAAAGCGGAACACGUGUGCGUGGAGAACCUCAUCUUCUUUUGGUCGGCGAUCCUGGAACUGGUAAAUCCCAAUUGCUUCGUGCAGCAUCUCGUUUGGCUAUAAGAUCGGUUCUUACGACCGGUGUGGGAUCGACUGCAGCUGGACUCACUGCAACCGCUGUUAGAGAUUCAGAAGGAUGGCAUCUAGAAGCUGGGGCCCUUGUAUUAGCAGAUGGAGGCGUCUGUUGCGUGGAUGAGUUCACAACCAUGAGCUCACAGGAUAGAACAUCCGUUCACGAAGCUAUGGAACAACAAACAAUAUCAAUCGCCAAAGCUGGAUUAGUUAGCACGUUAAACUCAAGGUGUUCAGUGGUUGCAGCUAUUAAUCCAUCCGGUGGCCAAUUCACCGAUGAUGAAGAAUGGGAAACGAAUUUAGGGGAUCCUCUUUUAUCUCGUUUCGAUUUAAUCCUGCUUUUGAAGGACAAUAGGAAUUCAGAAUGGGAUAGGCUGACUUCGGAACAUAUUUUAAAGGCUGCUUACGAGACUAAAGAGAACAAUGCUCAGACAGACUCGAAAAAUCAUAUGGAACUUUUAAAAAACGAAAGUUUAUGGAAAGAGGAUACUUUGCGAGAAUAUUUAGCAUAUGUACAUUCCCUGCAACCAAAAUUAACGAAGGAAGCGGAAAUGAUACUUCGAGCGACAUAUCUUUAUCACAGGUGUCAUCCAAAUAGGAGAGAAGAGAGAACAACAGUUCGACUUUUGGACAGCCUUAUUCGAUUAGCCGAAGGACACGCUAGAUUGAUGUACAGAUCGGAUAUAGAAAUCAUGGAUGUUAUAUUCGUGGCAAAAUUAGUUGGAACUGGAUCUACAUCCGAGAUUAAUCUUGGUUGUUCAUUUCCAAUAGAUCCAAUUGCAACAUAUAAAUCUGAAGUUCUUAUCUAGAGGAUCUCAGACGAUCUCAGGAUCUCGCGGGUUUCAUUCCAUAGAUCACCUCAUCUAUUCCAGUAAGAAUAUUCGGCAUUGCGAAGGGGAUAUAACCAUUAACGAAACUUCUUAUCUCGAAGACGACUCAGGAUUUCGCGGGUUUCAUUCCAUAGAUCACCCCAUCUAUUCCAGUAAG